This 1179-nucleotide long non-coding RNA is filed under the name Corvus moneduloides (New Caledonian crow). Its description in RNAcentral is "lncRNA (ENSCMUG00000019587.1)". The record is from RNAcentral. Lineage: Eukaryota; Metazoa; Chordata; Aves; Passeriformes; Corvidae.
AAAAGAUGUAAGAUCUGCGUGUAUGCCUUUGGUUUGAUUUUCUGUUUGUUUGUUUUUUCACUUUAUUUUAAAAAAGGUGUUCCUUGACAAGAGGAUAGCAAGUCAACAUGAGCACAUCUUUUUACGGGCUGUGUGGAAAGAAGACGAGGCGCCGAUAGGCAUAACUUAGCCCUUGAUUAUGGUCAUUAUAUAAACCGAAUUACUAACAAAAGUUUGUUUGGUAACUAAUUAUAGCUCACUAAAUCUCUGCCUCUCUUCACUUCAGCAUAAUGUAUACAAACUUUUGUACACGCGGAUCAGAAUAAAACAAAGUGUUGACAGCAUCCAGCAGUGGAAAUUCACUUACACAAGACUUUUUUUUCACUGAAGUGUUGACAAUAAACAUUUAAUGAAGGCAGAGACUUGGAUGUCUCCAGACAGUGUCAGAAUACUUUAAACAGACCAUUAGCAUGGCUUCUUCUACUUCAAACAGAGCACACUAUACCAUAACAUUAUAAAAAUACAAAGUAUGAAACAAAUAAUCUGUUUAUACAGAUAUUUUAAGCUGUUUUCACCAGCUCUGACAUCCCCUGUAUUUAGUAACAGAAACUUACUCAUUUCAGAUUACUCGCGCUUAAAAAAUGUUAAAUACAGUUAAUGCAAUAUUAAUCGCCCUUUGGUGAUAUAAAAUGCAAUAUUUUCAGGCAGCUAUUGAGCUUUUCUAGAGGAAGAGCUGAUGAAAACAGUCACAGCUGAAUAGUGGAGAGAAAAAAGCUCUGUAUUUAUUGCUUUUGUUUGGCUUUUGGCUACAGAGACAGGAACAUUCUAAUGGGGGCAUAUGAUGACCUCAUGAACCACCCUUUAGACUUCCAGUGCUUCUGGCUUUAAUAUUCUGUGCUAGAUUCACAGAGCUCUUCUACAGAUGCUAAGCGUUCAAUCCUGAAGGCUCCACUUCAUCAUCAGAAUGAGUAGGUAAAGUUCUGAAUGUCAAAGCUGUGCUACCCUCAAAUUCAUCUUCCAUGAAUAUUCAAGGAUUUCAGAGGGAAAGGAAGGUAUGCUUUACCAAAUUUAGGUGUUUCAAGACAUUUCUAAAGCCUGAAGAAUUCAACACUUUGCAGAAACACUUCUGGAUCAUCUGUGCUAAAAGUUCAUUCAUACCAAGAUUUCAAGCAGGUAAGAGAUUUCUCUUACUCCCCUUUU